AACGAACGCUGGCGGCAUGUCUAACACAUGCGAGUCGAACGAGACCUUCGGGUCUAGUGGCGCACGGGUGCGUAACGCGUGGGAACCUGCCCUUAGGUUCGGAAUAACUCCCCGAAAGGGGUGCUAAUACCGGAUAAUGUCUUCGGACCAAAGAUUUAUCGCCUUUGGAUGGGCCCGCGUUGGAUUAGCUAGUUGGUAGGGUAAAAGCCUACCAAGGCGACGAUCCAUAGCUGGUCUGAGAGGAUGAUCAGCCACACUGGGACUGAGACACGGCCCAGACUCCUACGGGAGGCAGCAGUGGGGAAUAUUGGACAAUGGGCGAAAGCCUGAUCCAGCAAUGCCGCGUGAGUGAUGAAGGCCUUAGGGUUGUAAAGCUCUUUUACCCGGGAUGAUAAUGACAGUACCGGGAGAAUAAGCUCCGGCUAACUCCGUG
This 433-nucleotide ribosomal RNA is filed under the name uncultured bacterium. RNAcentral's name for it is "partial 16S ribosomal RNA". It matches the Rfam family "Bacterial small subunit ribosomal RNA", at positions 29 to 507 of the family's 1533-position model. The record is from RNAcentral.